RNAcentral lists this ribosomal RNA (502 nucleotides) under uncultured bacterium. RNAcentral's name for it is "bacterial SSU rRNA". It matches the Rfam family "Bacterial small subunit ribosomal RNA", at positions 28 to 523 of the family's 1533-position model. The record is from RNAcentral.
GAUGAACGCUAGCGGCAGGCCUAAUACAUGCAAGUCGAGGGGCAGCGCGGUAGCAAUACUGGCGGCGACCGGCGCACGGGUGCGUAACACGUAUGCAACCUACCUUCAACUGGAGGAUAGCCCGGGGAAACUCGGAUUAAUACUCCAUAACACAGGGAUCCCGCAUGGGAAUAUUGUUAAAGCUACGGCGGUUGAAGAUGGGCAUGCGUUCGAUUAGCUAGUUGGUGUAGGUAACGGCUCACCAAGGCUACGAUCGAUAGGGGGUCUGAGAGGAUGAUCCCCCACACUGGUACUGAGAUACGGACCAGACUCCUACGGGAGGCAGCAGUAGGGAAUAUUGGUCAAUGGGCGCAAGCCUGAACCAGCCAUGCCGCGUGCAGGAAGAAGGCCCCUCUGGGGUUGUAAAACUGCUUUUGAUAGGGAACAAAUGCCACUUGCGAGUGGAGCUGAGUGUACCUAUAGAAUAAGCACCGGCUAAACUCCGUGCCAGCAGCCGCGGUAA